This 484-nucleotide ribosomal RNA is filed under the name uncultured bacterium. Its description in RNAcentral is "partial 16S ribosomal RNA". It matches the Rfam family "Bacterial small subunit ribosomal RNA", at positions 30 to 507 of the family's 1533-position model. The record is from RNAcentral.
AUUGAACGCUGGCGGCAGGCCUAACACAUGCAAGUCGAGCGGAUGAAGGGAGCUUGCUCCUGGAUUCAGCGGCGGACGGGUGAGUAAUGCCUAGGAAUCUGCCUGGUAGUGGGGGAUAACGUCCGGAAACGGGCGCUAAUACCGCAUACGUCCUGAGGGAGAAAGUGGGGGAUCUUCGGACCUCACGCUAUCAGAUGAGCCUAGGUCGGUUUAGCUAGUUGGUGGGGUAAAGGCCUACCAAGGCGGCGAUCCGUAACUGGUCUGAGAGGAUGGUCAGUCACACUGGAACUGAAACACGGUCCAGACUCCUACGGGAGGCAGCAGAGGGGAAUGUUGGACAAUGGGCGAAAGCCUGAUACAGCCAUGCCGCGUGUGUGAAGAAGGCCUUCGGAUUGUAAAGCACUUUUAGUUGGGAGGAAGGGCAGUAAGUUAAUACCUUGCUGUUUUGACGUUACCAACAGAAUAAGCACCGGCUAACUUCGUG